This 119-nucleotide ribosomal RNA is filed under the name Pteropus alecto (black flying fox). The record is from RNAcentral. Lineage: Eukaryota; Metazoa; Chordata; Mammalia; Chiroptera; Pteropodidae. RNAcentral also lists the same sequence under 1 other name.
GUCUACGGCCAUGCUACCUUGAACUAGCCCAAUCUCAUCUGAUCUAGGAAGCUAAGCUGGGUUGGACCUGGUUAGUACUUGGAUGGGAGACCACCCAGGAAGACCAGGUGCUGUAGGCA